GGGGGGGGGGGGGGGGGGGCCGUGGGGGGGGGGGGCGGGGGGCGGCGCGGGUGCGUGCGCCGGGUGGGGAGUGGCGGACGGGUGGGUAAUACAUCGGGACAUGUCCUGGAGUGGGGGAUAGCCCGGCGAAAGCCGGAUUAAUACCGCAUACGAUCUACGGAUGAACGCGGGGGACCUUCGGGCCUCGCGCUAUAGGGUUGGCCGAUGGCUGAUUAGCUAGUUGGUGGGGUAAAGGCCUACCAAGGCGACGAUCAGUAGCUGGUCUGAGAGGACGACCAGCCACACUGGGACUGAGACACGGCCCAGACUCCUACGGGAGGCAGCAGUGGGGAAUUUUGGACAAUGGGCGAAAGCCUGAUCCAGCAAUGCCGCGUGUGUGAAGAAGGCCUUCGGGUUGUAAAGCACUUUUGUCCGGAAAGAAAUCCUUGGCCCUAAUACGGUCGGGGGAUGACGGUACCGGAAGAAUAAGCACCGGCUAACUACGUG
This 486-nucleotide ribosomal RNA is filed under the name uncultured bacterium. RNAcentral's name for it is "partial 16S ribosomal RNA". It matches the Rfam family "Bacterial small subunit ribosomal RNA", at positions 38 to 507 of the family's 1533-position model. The record is from RNAcentral.